Molecule: long non-coding RNA, 3264 nt
Filed under: Setaria italica (foxtail millet)
Lineage: Eukaryota; Viridiplantae; Streptophyta; Magnoliopsida; Poales; Poaceae
Description: long non-coding RNA (SITA_LNC004629)
Source: RNAcentral
GUCAGGAAGCCUGCACGAGGGACAACAAUAAAGUUUUUGGGUAGCGCAACUGCGCAACCGCUCGAUUCGAUCGACUAUGUUCUGCGCUGCCUCAUCUUCGAUCUGCACUGCAACGCGUAACCCUGCAGCAAGUCUACACGAGGACGGAGCACUAAUCUGUAAGUCCUAGAUUGGUUUCUUACAAAGUUGUAGGUUACACAAGAUCUAGAAUUGUUACAUACCUAUUAUUAUGGGUUACAUGAUGUUUUGUAUCGUUACGUCUAUUUUGCAUAUGCUAGUUUUACAUACCGUUUACAUGCAUAUGUUAAUGGUUACACCUAGCUAUUUGAAUCUAGAAUUGGGUUACAUAGCAGUAGCAAUGAGUUACGUAAUAUGCCUCAUGUUUAUAUCUGGUAGAAUUUAACACGUAUCUCCAACAUAUUUUGAGGCAGUAUAAAUUUCAAUUCCUUUUGCUGCUCUGUUAAAUACCAUCUUUCGUUGUGGCCCAACACUCUAGUAUGCAUGUAGCACCAAGCUUGUUUGAGCCGCUUUGUGCUCUGAUUUUGCUGUCUGUAUCAGGUUGGACUGUUUCUUUGUCUUGCGAUGUAUAGCUUCAUAUCUUCUAGAGGUUAGCAAAACCCGCGUUCUCUUAAGGCAACUACUCGAAGAAUCUGCAGCGCCCCUGAUAUAUCACUGCUGCAGAAACGAUCUUUAGUACUGAUCUCCAACCCCCUUUAGUAUCGGUUUGGCAAUCAGUACCACUACGUCGGUACUAAAGGGAGUUCUCUAGAAUCGAGUCAAAUAACCGGUACUAAAAGGGCUCCUUUACUACCAGUUGGUAACACCAAUAGGUAGUAACUUUUUUUGCACCCAAAAAAUUAAAGAAAAACAGCUGGGAGGCUCGCGCACACACGCAUCAUGAGUAAUAUGCGCGUGCAUGGUUUGUGGGAUUCCAACCCACGACCAAGCUAUAAGCACGUAGUUACAAAAAAUUAAACACUUAGACAUUUUAGAGCAUCCCAAAUAACUACAAAUUCUAUAGUUUACCAUAUACCAUAAAAUAUUAGUUAAAAUAAGAGCAUACACAUGUCAGAAGAGUCCCAAUGCACCGGUUGAGGAUCAGACCAGGCACUUUGAAUGCACAUGCCAUAAGAUAAUUCUGCAGGACGAUGAUUGCAAUAAUGGACCAUCAAGAAGAUAGGGGCGUGGGGUUGCCUCAUCAAUUAUCACUUGGCGCAACAAGACCAGCAAAGUCUUUAUCGACAGGGGUGGAUCAACGGGUGGGGCGGGCAGAGCUCCAGUCCUCCUACCGCCGCUCGAACAAUGGAGCCCCCCUUAGCCCCUCCAUAAAUUUUUAGGUAGAAGAAAAAAGAAGAGAAGGGAAGGAAGGGGAAGAAGAGGGAGCCCCUCCUAAGUAGGUCGCCAUCAUGCUUCCCAACGCAUGAUCGCCGCACCGCAUCCAUUCCUCUACAAGCCUCCAGCGUCUCUCCCGCCGCUACCUCUGAACCAUGUGCAGCUGCAGACCCAACUAGUGUCUUGUCGCCCAUCUCAGUCCCAACAGAGCGGCGGCGGUUGCCAGCACAAAUCUCCCUCCGCCUCUUCUUCAUGGUCGAUGGCCGCCACAAGCAUAAACCUCUCCUUCGCAUCCACGCAAAAGGGUCGCUGGAGUGCCUUCUUGCCUUGCUUCUCAGCCUCCUUCACUUGCGGCCAGCCAAGAACCGUGCCACCACCUCGGGUGCGCGCCACCACUCCAGGGCUGCUACCCCAUGCCUGCGGCCGCCACCAGCCACCACGCGUGUCCAACCGCGUCGCACCGCUUCCCUGCUCUGUGCCACCACUGCUGUUGUACCACCAGCUCCACCACCUUGGGCUGGUCGCCAGGGUGACUGAUUGGUGGAUUAUUACUAAAAAUAAGUUCCUUAUUAUCUACAACUACUAUUAACUCAUGGAUACAUGCAUCUUUUGCUUCUCCUGCUAAUAUGUCCUAAAAUAUCUAGGAUGCCUUAUAUUUCUGGAAAGAGGAAGUAUUUGAAUAAAAUGAACCAAUUUAAAAAAAAUGUGUUAUACACUACUACAGAAAGACCUAUCAGUGUCAAACCCAAAAAUGCCGUCACCGCCAGUUUUGGGCACCGUUGGUGAAAGGUUGGCGGUGAUGGGUAUCCCCUUCAACAACGGCACUGGAGCCGACGGUGAUUGACAUUAGAAAACAAAAAAGGGGACCCCACCUAGCCACCCCUGCAACCCGGCCGGCCGUGCCUCCCCUCGUCCCUGCCACCUCGCCUCCCCCGUGACCCCCCUCCGGCGCCCUUGCGCCUAGCCCCCUCGCCUGCCCGGCCAGCCACCCUCGUCACGAGAGAGAGAGAGGUGCAUGUUGUAUAAUUGCGUGAAUUUUUUAAUGUUUAAUUUCAUGUAAGUUUCAUGUAAUAAAUUGUACAAGAUUUAUUGUAUAUAUGAAUUCCAUAUAUAUAUAUAUAUAUAUUUAUAAUUUAAUGUAUGGUUUCAUGUGUAUAUUUCAAUCAUGUGUAUAUUUAGUAGAUUGCCGAUUUUCUUUUUCUACUAGACAAGGAUUGAUGUAUAAUUACGUGUAUAUGUUUAUUGUACAGGCAAUUAGGACAAGUUUUGUAUAAAUUUCUUUUAUUUUAUGGUUGUUGUAUGGUUUCAAGUAUAUACAUUUAUUGUAUCACUAAUUGUAUUAUUAGUUAAGAUGGGAGCCAAAGAGGAUGAAAGGUAUAUAAUGGAGCAGAUUAUUGCUGGCGGUAGUGGCUCAAACGUUGCAAGAACCUACACCGAGGGUGAGGGUAGCUAGGUGGACAUGUACCUCAACAUCUCCAGUGGUGGCAAUGAUGAUGAGGAGCACGAGCAUGACAUUUAUGAUAAUGCGGAACAAGACAUUGCAGAAUUGGAAGGUUCUAAUGAGGUGUGCUUCAUGUUGAUGAUCUGGUUGGCUUUUUUUCUUUGGUCACACCUUAGUUACCAUAGAACUUCGUCUCGGGAGAAGAUUAGUGGUGCUAUGGUGAUUGGAAUUUUAUUGCCUCCAAACUGAUUUCCAUCGAAUCAUAUCCCUUGUAUUUAUCUUCUUUUUAUUUGUGAGAGCAUCUCCUUUAUGCUUCCAAAACAAUUCAAGUGCACAUACUACACCUAGGGUGACGAUUAGGAGUAGAAACAAUUGCCAACAAACCAACACCACAUCCUAAGAUUCUUAACUUGUGGCAUAAUUAGUCUAGUAAAAAGAAAGAUAAAAACCUAAUGGGUGUACGUGAGUGCAAUGUGUAUAUGCAUAUGAGU